GCCGAACGCUGGCGGCGUGCCUAAUACAUGCAAGUAGAACGCAGAUGAGAAAGGGAGAGUGACGCGUAGGUAACUGGCUGGUAGCAGGGGAUAACUAUUGGGAACGAGAGAUAAUAACGCAUACUACCAGAUGGAACUGCGUUGUAUUCGGUGGUUGGUGGGGUAACGGCUCACCAAGGCAAAGAUACAUAGCCGACCUGAGAGGGUGAUCGGCCACACUGGGACUGGGACACGGCCCAGACUCCUACGGGAGGCAGCAGUAGGGAAUCUUCGGCAAUGGACGGAAGUCUGACCGAGCAACGCCGCGUGAGUGAAGAAGGUUUUCGGAUCGUAAAGCUCUGUUGUAAGAGAAGCGGUAUCUUACCAGAAAGGGACGGCUAACUACGUGCCAGCCGCCGCGGUAAUAC
This 407-nucleotide ribosomal RNA is filed under the name uncultured bacterium. Its description in RNAcentral is "partial 16S ribosomal RNA". It matches the Rfam family "Bacterial small subunit ribosomal RNA", at positions 28 to 526 of the family's 1533-position model. The record is from RNAcentral.